AAAAUGACUCUCGGCAAUGGAUAUCUCGGCUCUCGCAUCGAUGAAGAGCGCAGCGAAAUGCGAUACGUGGUGCGAAUUGCAGAAUCCCGCGAACCAUCGAGUCUUUGAACGCAAGUUGCGCCCGAGGCCGACCGGCCAAGGGCACGUCUGCCUGGGCGUCAAGCG
RNAcentral lists this ribosomal RNA (165 nucleotides) under Coelogyne blumea. Its description in RNAcentral is "Nabaluia angustifolia 5.8S ribosomal RNA". It matches the Rfam family "5.8S ribosomal RNA". From Rfam's summary of the family: 5.8S ribosomal RNA (5.8S rRNA) is a component of the large subunit of the eukaryotic ribosome. It is transcribed by RNA polymerase I as part of the 45S precursor that also contains 18S and 28S rRNA. The record is from RNAcentral. Lineage: Eukaryota; Viridiplantae; Streptophyta; Magnoliopsida; Asparagales; Orchidaceae.